GAUGAACGCUAGCGACAGGCUUAACACAUGCAAGUCGAGGGGCAGCACGAUGUAGCAAUACAUUGGUGGCGACCGGCGCACGGGUGAGUAACGCGUAUGCAACCUACCUAUCAGAGGGGAAUAACCCGGCGAAAGUCGGACUAAUACCGCAUAAAACAGGGGUUCCACAUGGAAAUAUUUGUUAAAGAAUUAUCGCUGAUAGAUGGGCAUGCGUUCCAUUAGAUAGUUGGUGAGGUAACGGCUCACCAAGUCCACGAUGGAUAGGGGUUCUGAGAGGAAGGUCCCCCACACUGGUACUGAGACACGGACCAGACUCCUACGGGAGGCAGCAGUGAGGAAUAUUGGUCAAUGGGCGAGAGCCUGAACCAGCCAAGUCGCGUGAAGGAUGAAGGAUCUAUGGUUUGUAAACUUCUUUUAUAUGGGAAUAAAGUGAGGAACGUGUUCCUUUU
RNAcentral lists this ribosomal RNA (449 nucleotides) under uncultured bacterium. Its description in RNAcentral is "bacterial SSU rRNA". It matches the Rfam family "Bacterial small subunit ribosomal RNA", at positions 28 to 469 of the family's 1533-position model. The record is from RNAcentral.